Molecule: ribosomal RNA, 463 nt
Filed under: uncultured bacterium
Lineage: Bacteria
Description: partial 16S ribosomal RNA
Rfam family: Bacterial small subunit ribosomal RNA
Source: RNAcentral
CUACGGGCGGCAGCAGUGGGGAAUAUUGGACAAUGGGCGAAAGCCUGAUCCAGCAAUACCGCGUGUGUGAAGAAGGCCUGCGGGUUGUAAAGCACUUUCAAUUGUGAAGAAAAGCGGAAGGUUAAUAACCUUUUGUCUUGACGUUAACUUUAGAAGAAGCACCGGCUAACUCUGUGCCAGCAGCCGCGGUAAUACAGAGGGUGCGAGCGUUAAUCGGAAUUACUGGGCGUAAAGCGUGCGUAGGCGGUUUAGUAAGUCAGAUGUGAAAGCCCUGGGCUCAACCUGGGAACUGCAUUUGAACUGCUGAACUAGAGUGUGGUAGAGGGAAGUGGAAUUCCGGGUGUAGCGGUGAAAUGCGUAGAUAUCCGGAGGAACACCAGUGGCGAAGGCGACUUCCUGGACCAACACUGACGCUGAGGUACGAAAGCGUGGGUAGCAAACAGGAUUAGAUACCCGAGUAGUC